CGGGUGAGUAAUGUCUGGGAAACUGCCCGAUGGAGGGGGAUAACUACUGGAAACGGUAGCUAAUACCGCAUAACGUCGCAAGACCAAAGAGGGGGACCUUAGGGCCUCUUGCCAUCGGAUGUGCCCAGAUGGGAUUAGCUAGUAGGUGGGGUAAUGGCUCACCUAGGCGACGAUCCCUAGCUGGUCUGAGAGGAUGAUCAGCCACACUGGGACUGAGACACGGCCUAG
RNAcentral lists this ribosomal RNA (228 nucleotides) under uncultured bacterium. RNAcentral's name for it is "partial 16S ribosomal RNA". It matches the Rfam family "Bacterial small subunit ribosomal RNA", at positions 103 to 334 of the family's 1533-position model. The record is from RNAcentral.